RNAcentral lists this long non-coding RNA (1294 nucleotides) under Oryzias sinensis (Chinese medaka). RNAcentral describes it as "lncRNA (ENSOSIG00000019144.1)". Lineage: Eukaryota; Metazoa; Chordata; Actinopteri; Beloniformes; Adrianichthyidae. The record is from RNAcentral.
GAAAACCAACAGAGCAUUGAAGCGGACCGAGAUGGGCUGGGUGACUGUCUAGAGCGCAUGUGGACCUGUGGGAGGAGGCGGGGUUAUGAGCGGCGGGCGGGCUGACGACCUGCAGCACCGGAGCGCCAGAGCCACGCAGACCUGCUGCUGCUGCUGGAUCUGAGCGGCCAGUUUGGCCAUUUCCUCCGUCUGCUCGCCGGCCUGGCUCUCCAGGAGGCGGAGCUGCCUCUUCAGGUCCGGCAGCGAAUCCGUGGCGAGGUGGAGCGGCAGGCUGAGGUCUCGGAUCUGAGCGCACAACUCCUCCUUCUGCUUCUGCAGACGGGUCGCCUCGGACCGGCUCUCCUGCAACCGACAUCAGAGCUUCUUUAGGAGAGGACAUGGACACAAGCAUCAUCACAAACACCGGCGUUCAUUGCUCCGCCCCCCACAGACCUGCAGACUGCGGCGGAGGUUGAAGAUCUCCGUUCCCAGAGCGGCGUUCUCCUGAGAGGCUUUCUCCUUCUGCUCCCUCUGGUUCUCCGCCUCCUCCAGCGCCUGGGCCAGCUCGCUGUCGAACCUGCGCUCACAGAAUGAACACUCUGGACUCACAGAGGAAGGUUGUGUCGCUGCGGCGGCGGCGGGACGUUUUCUGCAGACGCGUCGACAUUUUUUACUUAUUUAUUCUAACUAACGGAAGAUGACCUCCCGUUAACUGACUGGGAGUCUCUCAGCCGGGAUGAUGUCCGUGAAUCCGUCUGUUAUGCGCUCAGUGCACGAUUGUAGGUGUGGCUGUGCACGUGCAGCCGUGCACGUAGUUUUCUAUGUUUUAGAGCCACGAAGGCCGCGGGUGGCGCUCAGAGACACACCUCCUCUGCUUGCGCUCCAGCUCAUGCGAGCGGCUCUGCAGACUGUCCAUCUGGACCCGGGCGUCCUGCAGGUCAGAGGUCACGCGCCGACAGUGGCGCUUCAGCUCCACCGCCCCCCGCCUGGACUGCUCCAGCUGCGCCUGCAGCGCCGCCACCUGCAGGGCAGACAGUUUUGCAGUCAGAGGGGGAGCUGCCGCCCCCCGGCCGCACACGCCUCACCUUGGCGUCCAGCUCCUGCCGGCUCCGUCGCUCCGCCUCCAGUUUCUCCUCCGUCUGCUUCAGCCGCCGGCGGACAAACUCCACCUCCGUCUGGCAGCAGUCCAGCUGCACGGACAGCUCGCUUCCUGACAGACGGACGGAGAGGUUUCCUCAGACCAGAAACAUCUUCAGCUGGACAACAUUUAUGGUCUGAAUCUUCAUUCUCUGUGAAAUGUUUGCUGCUGGUUUAA